CCUGAACUGGCUGCAGGGGAAGAGUCCGAGCCCUGGGAUUCGUGCACCUAAAAGCAAGAGAUGUUGUGUCACCAGCAGCUAACAGAAGCAAUGCAACUCUGAACUUGGGUCUUGGAAGGGCCUGCUACCAGCCCAGAGUGGAGACAAGAGAACUGUGUCACCCAGAAGGACACAAGCCUGAGGGCAGGCUGGGGCACUGCCAGGGACCGACAUGCCCCACGUCCACCCUGCAAGAGCAAAGUCACCCUUUCCUACCUAACCAAGCAGCCCCCUAUGCAGGCUGGGCAGUGCUCAGAGCAGCCCUGCUGGAGGUUUGGCACUGGCUUUACCUUCCAGGCAAGAUUAUUGACCUUUCCAGUCCAGUAUUUAACAACCCCCAUUCAUCCCCACUUUCCCCUUCCCUUCCACUUCAUUCCCUUUGUUGCUCUGUAAUAGGAGAGGCAACAGGGCACAUAUUUCUGUAGAACAAAGCAUUAUCAUCCUAAUUAUAGUUUCCUGGUGUUUUCUUCACUUUUACCAUUAUAUUAAAAGCCAUUAGCUGAGAGGAACUACCUUUUUUAAUCUCUACCCUAUUGUUCUCAUCUCUCCCCGAAUCCGAGGUCUUUUUAGAGUCUAUUUUAUUCAUAAUUACAUGUGUUGGAACAACUGCUCAAAAAAGUGAGCCCAGGAAGGACUCUGUUAAUACUUCCCUAGCAGACUUGAU
Molecule: long non-coding RNA, 703 nt
Filed under: Gallus gallus (chicken)
Lineage: Eukaryota; Metazoa; Chordata; Aves; Galliformes; Phasianidae
Source: RNAcentral